Molecule: ribosomal RNA, 497 nt
Filed under: uncultured bacterium
Lineage: Bacteria
Description: partial 16S ribosomal RNA
Rfam family: Bacterial small subunit ribosomal RNA
Source: RNAcentral
GAUGAACGCUGGCGGCGUGCCUAAUACAUGCAAGUCGAGCGAACGGACGAGAAGCUUGCUUCUCUGAUGUUAGCGGCGGACGGGUGAGUAACACGUGGAUAACCUACCUAUAAGACUGGGAUAACUUCGGGAAACCGUAGCUAAUACCGGAUAAUAUUUUGAACCGCAUGGUUCAAAAGUGAAAGACGGUCUUGCUGUCACUUAUAGAUGGAUCCGCGCUGCAUUAGCUAGUUGGUAAGGUAACGGCUUACCAAGGCAACGAUGCAUAGCCGACCUGAGAGGGUGAUCGGCCACAUUGGAAGUGAGACACGGACCAGACUCCUACGGGAGGCAGCAGUAGGGAAUCUUCCGCAAUGGGCGAAAGCCUGACGGAGCAACGCCGCGUGAGUGAUGAAGAUCUUCGGAUCGUAAAACUCUGUUAUUAGGGAAGAACAUAUGUGUAAGUAACUGUGCACAUCUUGACGGUACCUAAUCAGAAAGCCACGGCUAACUACGUG